Molecule: ribosomal RNA, 253 nt
Filed under: uncultured bacterium
Lineage: Bacteria
Description: partial 16S ribosomal RNA
Rfam family: Bacterial small subunit ribosomal RNA
Source: RNAcentral
UACGUAGGGACCGAGCGUUGUCCGGAAUCAUUGGGCGUAAAGAGCGUGUAGGCGGCCUGUUAAGUCUUGCGUGAAAUCUCGGGGCUCAACCCCGAGCGGUCGUGAGAAACUGGCAGGCUAGAGUGCGGGAGAGGAGAGUGGAAUUCCUGGUGUAGCGGUGAAAUGCGCGGAUAUCAGGAAGAACACCCGUGGCGAAGGCGGCUCUCUGGGACGGUACUGACGCUGAGACGCGAAAGCGUGGGGAGCGAACAGG